Molecule: ribosomal RNA, 423 nt
Filed under: uncultured bacterium
Lineage: Bacteria
Description: bacterial SSU rRNA
Rfam family: Bacterial small subunit ribosomal RNA
Source: RNAcentral
UAAGGGAUAUUGGUCAAUGGGGGCAACCCUGAACCAGCCAUGCCGCGUGAGGGAAUGAGGCCCUACGGGUCGUGAACCUCUUUUGACCGGGGACAAAGUCGCGCUCGUGAAGCGCGGGUGAGGGUACCGGUGGAAUAAGCGUCGGCUAACUCCGUGCCAGCAGCCGCGGUAAUACGGAGGACGCGAGCGUUAUCCGGAUUCAUUGGGUUUAAAGGGUGCGCAGGCGGCCGGCCAAGUCAGCGGUGAAAGCCCGGGGCCCAACCCCGGAAGUGCCGUGGAUACUGGCUGGCUGGAAUGCGGUCGAGGCGGGCGGAACGUGGCGUGUGGCGGUGAAAUGCGUAGAUAUGCCACAGAACGCCGGUAGCGGAGGCAGCUCGCCAGGCCUGCAUUGACGCUCGGGCACGAAAGCGUGGGGAUCGAACA